GAAUAAAGUCAUAGGUUUACGAGAAAAAAAAAAGUCCUAGUAUUAUGAGAAUAAAAUCAUAAUAUUAUAAAGUAGUACUUUGACGUAUUAUUUUAGAGAGGAAAUAGAGCAACCUGUGUGAAAAUGAGGAACGUGGAGCAUCUUGUGAAGUUAUACUAUUGUUAUAUGUUUCACAAAUAAGGAA
Sebastes umbrosus (honeycomb rockfish) is the source of this 184-nucleotide long non-coding RNA. RefSeq lists it as uncharacterized. The transcript is spliced from 3 exons. NCBI's taxonomy places the organism in Eukaryota, Metazoa, Chordata, Actinopteri, Perciformes, Sebastidae. The record is from RefSeq and is a predicted model, not a curated record.